RNAcentral lists this ribosomal RNA (173 nucleotides) under Schistura sp. CBM ZF 12913. Its description in RNAcentral is "partial 12S rRNA". The record is from RNAcentral. Lineage: Eukaryota; Metazoa; Chordata; Actinopteri; Cypriniformes; Nemacheilidae.
CACCGCGGUUAUACGAGAGGCCCCAGUUGAUAGACACGGCGUAAAGGGUGGUUAAGGAAAGCAAAUAUUAAAGCCAAAGGGCCUCUUGGCCGUCAUACGCUCCCGAGUAUCCGAAGCCCAAUGAACGAAAGUAGCUUUAACCCAGCCCACCUGACUCCACGAAAACUGAGAAA